Molecule: ribosomal RNA, 224 nt
Filed under: uncultured bacterium
Lineage: Bacteria
Description: partial 16S ribosomal RNA
Rfam family: Bacterial small subunit ribosomal RNA
Source: RNAcentral
UACGUAGGGUGCAAGCGUUAAUCGGAAUUACUGGGCGUAAAGCGUGCGCAGGCGGUUAUGUAAGACAGUUGUGAAAUCCCCGGGCUCAACCUGGGAUUGCAUCUGUGACUGCAUAGCUAGAGUACGGGUAGAGGGGGGAUGGAAUUCCGCGUGUAGCAGUGAAAUGCGUAGAUAUGCGGAGGAACACCGAUGGCGAAAGGCAAUCCCCUGGGAUAACACUGACG